RNAcentral lists this transfer RNA (68 nucleotides) under Labidostomis ghilianii. RNAcentral's name for it is "tRNA-Val". The record is from RNAcentral. Lineage: Eukaryota; Metazoa; Arthropoda; Insecta; Coleoptera; Chrysomelidae.
CAGGCCAGAGCUUGAUUAUAAGCUUUUUAUUUACACUAAAAGGAUAGUUAGACUGUAACUUGGCCUGA